This 495-nucleotide ribosomal RNA is filed under the name uncultured soil bacterium. RNAcentral describes it as "bacterial SSU rRNA". It matches the Rfam family "Bacterial small subunit ribosomal RNA", at positions 26 to 518 of the family's 1533-position model. The record is from RNAcentral.
AGAUUGAACGCUGGCGGCAUGCUUUACACAUGCAAGUCGAACGGCAGCACGGGGGCAACCCUGGUGGCGAGUGGCGAACGGGUGAGUAAUAUAUCGGAACGUACCCGGAAACGGGGGAUAACGUAGCGAAAGUUACGCUAAUACCGCAUAUGCCCUGAGGGGGAAAGCGGGGGAUUCGUAAGAACCUCGCGUUUUCGGAGCGGCCGAUAUCGGAUUAGCUAGUAGGUGAGGUAAAGGCUCACCUAGGCGACGAUCCGUAGCUGGUCUGAGAGGACGACCAGCCACACUGGAACUGAGACACGGUCCAGACUCCUACGGGAGGCAGCAGUGGGGAAUUUGGACAAUGGCGCAAGCCUGAUCAGCCAUGCCGCGUGAGUGAAGAAGGCCUUCGGGUUGUAAAGCUCUUUCAGUCCGAAGAAAACGCACGGUUAAUAACCUGUGUGGAUGACGUACCGGAAGAAGAAGACACCGGCUAACUACGUAGCCAGCAGCCGC